This 505-nucleotide ribosomal RNA is filed under the name uncultured bacterium. RNAcentral's name for it is "partial 16S ribosomal RNA". It matches the Rfam family "Bacterial small subunit ribosomal RNA", at positions 28 to 507 of the family's 1533-position model. The record is from RNAcentral.
GACGAACGCUGGCGGCGUGCCUAAUACAUGCAAGUAGAACGCACAGUUUAUACCGUAGCUUGCUACACCAUAAACUGUGAGUUGCGAACGGGUGAGUAACGCGUAGGUAACCUGCCUGGUAGCGGGGGAUAACUAUUGGAAACGAUAGCUAAUACCGCAUAAUAUUGAUUAUUGCAUGAUAAUUGAUUGAAAGAUGCUAUUGCAUCACUACCAGAUGGACCUGCGUUGUAUUAGCUAGUAGGUGAGGUAACGGCUCACCUAGGCGACGAUACAUAGCCGACCUGAGAGGGUGAUCGGCCACACUGGGACUGAGACACGGCCCAGACUCCUACGGGAGGCAGCAGUAGGGAAGCUUCGGCAAUGGACGAAAGUCUGACCGAGCAACGCCGCGUGAGUGAAGAAGGUUUUCGGAUCGUAAAGCUCUGUUGUAAGAGAAGAACGGGUGUGAGAGUGGAAAGUUCACACUGUGACGGCAUCUUACCAGAAAGGGACGGCUAACUACAUG